UACGUAGGGUGCGAGCGUUGCCCGGAUUUAUUGGGCGUAAAGGGCGCGUAGGCGGCUCGGCACGUCCGUUGUGAAAUCGCCCGGCUCAACUGGGCGGGGUCAGCGGAUACGGCCGAGCUUGAGCAAGCUAGGGGGCAAUGGAAUUCCCGGUGUAGUGGUGAAAUGCGCAGAUAUCCGGAGGAACACCGGUGGCGAAGGCGGCUCCUGGACCGACACUGACGCUGAGGCGCGAAAGCUAGGGGAGCAAACGGG
This 252-nucleotide ribosomal RNA is filed under the name uncultured bacterium. RNAcentral's name for it is "partial 16S ribosomal RNA". It matches the Rfam family "Bacterial small subunit ribosomal RNA", at positions 524 to 776 of the family's 1533-position model. The record is from RNAcentral.